This 1228-nucleotide ribosomal RNA is filed under the name uncultured fungus. RNAcentral describes it as "eukaryotic LSU rRNA". The stretch from base 629 to 1228 matches the Rfam family "Eukaryotic large subunit ribosomal RNA", at positions 1 to 667 of the family's 3401-position model. The record is from RNAcentral. Lineage: Eukaryota; Fungi.
AAGUCGUAACAAGGUUUCCGUAGGUGAACCUGCGGAAGGAUCAUUAUUGAAUAAGCUUGGUUGGGUUGUUGCUGGCUCUCAGGGGCAUGUGCACGCCUAACACCAACUUUUACCACCUGUGCACAUUUUGUAGACCUGGAUAAAACUCUCGAGGAAACUCGGUUUGAGGAAUGCUGUGCGCAAGCCAGCUUUCCUUGUACUUCUGGUCUAUGUUUUUAUAUAUACACACACCCCUAUAGUAUGUCUCGGAAUGUUUGUUUGUUGGGCUUGAAUGCCUUUAAACUUAAUACAACUUUCAACAACGGAUCUCUUGGCUCUCGCAUCGAUGAAGAACGCAGCGAAAUGCGAUAAGUAAUGUGAAUUGCAGAAUUCAGUGAAUCAUCGAAUCUUUGAACGCACCUUGCGCUCCUUGGUAUUCCGAGGAGCAUGCCUGUUUGAGUGUCAUGAAAUUCUCAACCUUUUCAGCUUUUUCUGUUGAUCAGGCUUGGAUGUGGGAGUAUGCGGGCUUCUCAGAAGUCGGCUCUCCUGAAAUGCAUUAGCGGGACCUUUGUUGCCUUGCUUUGGUGUGAUAAUUAUCUACGCCAUUCGUGAAGAGCAGCUUUAUNANNNNGUNCAGCUUCUAAAGGUCUCUUUUGAGACAACUUCUGACAAUUGNNNNNAAAUCUGAGGGUCUUUAUGGNNGGNCCNANUNGNAAUCUAGAGAAGUGCUAUCCGCGCUGGACCNUGUACAAGUCUCCUGGAACGGAGCGUCAUAGAGGGUGAGAAUCCCGCCUUUGACACGGACUACCAGGGCUUAUGUGAUACGCUCUCAAAGAGUCGAGUUGUUUGGGAAUGCAGCUCUAAAUGGGUGGUAAAUUCCAUCUAAAGCUAAAUAUUGGCGAGAGACCGAUAGCGAACAAGUACCGUGAGGGAAAGAUGAAAAGAACUUUGGAAAGAGAGUUAAAAAGUACGUGAAAUUGUUGAAAGGGAAACGCUUGAAGUCAGUCGCAUUGGCCAGGGAUCAACCUUGCUUUUGCUUGGUGUAUUUUCUGGUUAAUGGGUCAGCACCAAUUUUGAUCGGUGAAAAAGAUCAAGGGAAUGUGGCAUCUUCGGAUGUGUUAUAGCCCUUGGUUGUAUACAUCGAUUGGGAUUGAGGAACUCAGCACGCCGCAAGGCCGGGUUUUUAACCACGUACGUGCUUAGGAUGCUGGCAUAAUGGCUUUAAUCGACCCGUCUUGAAACACGGACC